This 497-nucleotide ribosomal RNA is filed under the name uncultured bacterium. Its description in RNAcentral is "partial 16S ribosomal RNA". It matches the Rfam family "Bacterial small subunit ribosomal RNA", at positions 28 to 507 of the family's 1533-position model. The record is from RNAcentral.
GAUGAACGCUGGCGGCGUGCCUAAUACAUGCAAGUCGAGCGAACAGACGAGGAGCUUGCUCCUCUGACGUUAGCGGCGGACGGGCGAGUAACACGUGGAUAACCUACCUAUAAGACUGGGAUAACUUCGGGAAACCGGAGCUAAUAACGGAUAAUAUAUUGAACCGCAUGGCUCAAUAGUGAAAGACGGUUUUGCUGUCACUUAUAGACGGAUCCGCGCCUCAUUAGCUAGUUGGUAAAGUAACGGCUUACCAAGGCGACGAUGCGUAGCCGACCUGAGAGGGUGAUCGGCCACACUGGAACUGAGACACGGUCCAGACUCCUACGGGAGGCAGCAGUAGGGAAUCUUCCGCAAUGGGCGCAAGCCUGACGGAGCAACGCCGCGUGAGUGAUGAAGGUCUUCGGAUCGUAAAGCUCUGUUAUUAGGGAAGAACAAAUGUGUAAGUAACUAUGCACGUCUUGACGGUACCUAAUCAGAAAGCCACGGCUAACUACGUG